UCUGUAGGUGGCUUGCUAAGUCAGACGUGAAAUCCCUCAGCUUAACUGGGGAACUGCGUCUGAUACUGGCAAGCUUGAGUGCAGGAGAGGAACGCGGAAUUCCAGGUGUAGCGGUGAAAUGCGUAGAUAUCUGGAGGAACACCGGUGGCGAAGGCGGCGUUCUGGACUGCAACUGACACUGAGAGACGAAGCCAGGGGAGCAAACG
This 206-nucleotide ribosomal RNA is filed under the name uncultured bacterium. RNAcentral describes it as "partial 16S ribosomal RNA". It matches the Rfam family "Bacterial small subunit ribosomal RNA", at positions 568 to 774 of the family's 1533-position model. The record is from RNAcentral.